GGCUGGGCCCAGUAGAAAGCCCCUUGGUAAUAACCAGGUCCAGAGUAUGGCUGUAGUUAUGGCUGGGCCCAGUAGAAAGCCCCUUGGUAAUAACCAGGUCCAGAGUAUGGCUGUAGUUAUGGCUGGGCCCAGUAGAAAGACCCUUGGUAAUAACCAGGUCCAGAGUAUGGCUGUAGUUAUGGCUGGGCCCAGUAGAAAGACCCUUGGUAAUAACCAGGUCCAGAGUAUGGCUGUAGUUAUGGCUGGGCCCAGUAACAUUUUGGAUAAAGUCCAU
Molecule: long non-coding RNA, 274 nt
Organism: Oncorhynchus keta (chum salmon)
Lineage: Eukaryota; Metazoa; Chordata; Actinopteri; Salmoniformes; Salmonidae
Exons: 3
Source: RefSeq, a predicted model, not a curated record